UCCCCGGUAGCUCAAUGGUGGAGCAACUCCCUGUUAAGGAGAUGGUUGUAGGUUCGAGUCCUACCCGGGGAG
RNAcentral lists this transfer RNA (72 nucleotides) under Candidatus Wolfebacteria bacterium RIFCSPHIGHO2_01_FULL_48_22. RNAcentral describes it as "tRNA-Asn". It matches the Rfam family "tRNA". Rfam says of the family: Transfer RNA (tRNA) molecules are approximately 80 nucleotides in length. Lineage: Bacteria; Candidatus Wolfeibacteriota. RNAcentral also lists the same sequence under 1 other name. The record is from RNAcentral.